AUGUCUAAAGCUCGUUCGUUCCUUCCUUCUCGCCUUGACACUUACGUGACUAAGGACGCUGAGGGGAGUCGAGGUGGGAUUGUGACGGCUUGGAACAGCCGGGUAUUCACGCUCACUUCCUCCUCGACGUCUCGCUUCUCUCUUACCUCUACCCUCGCCUCUACGACGAGCGCUCUCUCUUUCACGAUCACCAACAUUUACGCGCCCGCGGAUCACGCCUUCACGGCUGACUUCGUCGAUGAUCUCAUCGCGGUUGCCGAAGCCGUCUCGGGUCCGUGGCUGCUGCUUGGGGAUUUCAACCUGAUCCGGUUUCCUCAUGAGAAGAACAACGAUCGGUUCGACGCCCCCCGUGCGGCGACUUUCAACUCUCUGAUCAACACCCUUGCUCUUCACGAGCUGGCUCUGACUGAUCGUCGGUUUACCUGGACGAACAAGCGCGACCCCCCUACUCUGGCUCGCCUUGACCGGGUCCUCUUCGACUCCGCCUGGGAUGCGGCCUUCCCAGACUCGGCUUUGACGUCCCGUCCCCGUCCUACCUCGGAUCACGUUCCCCUGGUGGUG
This 561-nucleotide ribosomal RNA is filed under the name Triticum aestivum (bread wheat). RNAcentral's name for it is "partial small subunit ribosomal RNA". Lineage: Eukaryota; Viridiplantae; Streptophyta; Magnoliopsida; Poales; Poaceae. The record is from RNAcentral.